Molecule: ribosomal RNA, 253 nt
Filed under: uncultured bacterium
Lineage: Bacteria
Description: partial 16S ribosomal RNA
Rfam family: Bacterial small subunit ribosomal RNA
Source: RNAcentral
UACGAAGGGGGCUAGCGUUGCUCGGAAUCACUGGGCGUAAAGCGCGCGUAGGCGGCUUUGUAAGUCAGAGGUGAAAUCCCGGGGCUCAACUCCGGAACUGCCUUUGAAACUGCAUCGCUUGAAUCCGGGAGAGGUUAGUGGAAUUCCGAGUGUAGAGGUGAAAUUCGUAGAUAUUCGGAAGAACACCAGUGGCGAAGGCGACUAACUGGACAUGUAUUGACGCUGAGGUGCGAAAGCGUGGGGAGCAAACAGG